GGUGGUGUAGCUCAGUGGUAGUGUACUUGCCUAGCAAGCACAAAGCCCUGAAUUCAAUUCCCAGUACUGCCA
RNAcentral lists this transfer RNA (72 nucleotides) under Heterocephalus glaber (naked mole-rat). It matches the Rfam family "tRNA". From Rfam's summary of the family: Transfer RNA (tRNA) molecules are approximately 80 nucleotides in length. Their secondary structure includes four short double-helical elements and three loops (D, anti-codon, and T loops). Further hydrogen bonds mediate the characteristic L-shaped molecular structure. tRNAs have two regions of fundamental functional importance: the anti-codon, which is responsible for specific mRNA codon recognition, and the 3' end, to which the tRNAs corresponding amino acid is attached (by aminoacyl-tRNA synthetases). tRNAs cope with the degeneracy of the genetic code in two manners: having more than one tRNA (with a specific anti-codon) for a particular amino acid; and 'wobble' base-pairing, i.e. permitting non-standard base-pairing at the 3rd anti-codon position. The record is from Rfam by way of RNAcentral. Lineage: Eukaryota; Metazoa; Chordata; Mammalia; Rodentia; Bathyergidae.